Sycon ciliatum is the source of this 787-nucleotide long non-coding RNA. RefSeq lists it as uncharacterized. The transcript has 3 exons. The record is from RefSeq and is a predicted model, not a curated record. NCBI's taxonomy places the organism in Eukaryota, Metazoa, Porifera, Calcarea, Leucosolenida, Sycettidae.
UCUGCAGUCUUUUCAAAGUUUGCAGAAGCCAAGUGACAAGGACAGCUCUCCUGCCAGUCUGGUAAACUAGAUACUAAGUACUCUGGUGAAAGACGUCUGUGUACUCGGGAUGUGCUCGAGUUAGAGGACCAGAAGAACCUGGCCAUGGCCGGAGCACAAACGAGUUACUUCCAAAUAUUCUGCUCGCGUUCCGUAGUCGUUGUAUUUGUUGGAAUGUUUUUAUUUCUGGAGAAAAAAAGCAGGUUGACAGUUGACCCAACAAGACCGACAGUCGGUAUUUUCCACUGCCGUCCAUAAGAAUAGUUGGAGACAGGAGUGAAAAGGCUUUCCCGUCACUAGUUUGGCAGCGUAUCUCGCUCUCUGGUAUGGCAUUCGAUACACUGCACGAAGACAGCGGCGGUCAACCUGACGAGUCUCCUGUCGGCAACGACUCGAAGUGCGUCAAGACUUUUCGCCACCUACCAUUGAAACAUGCCUGCCUCCCUGAGCACUUCUUUGGUGGUUUCGGCCAAACUUCAUGGAGCGCCCCAGGCGAGUGACUAUGUCCCUAUUCUAUUCGCCGGUGGCCUAGCCGGAUCUGAACUUUGGAGCGCGUAUCUCUCAAGGCGAAAGAUCAGAAUGACCCGAAUGCAGAUUCCUGCACGGCUGGCUGCUGCUGAAGGAAUACGGCGUACCCUGUUGCCUCCGUGCAUACUUGACCGCCGACUACAGAUGCUUGACUGGCAGACUGGCUGCUGCUGAGGGAAUACGAUGUACUCUGUUGCCUCCCGUCGUACUUGACAGCAGG